RNAcentral lists this unclassified non-coding RNA (816 nucleotides) under Hevea brasiliensis (rubber tree). The record is from RNAcentral. Lineage: Eukaryota; Viridiplantae; Streptophyta; Magnoliopsida; Malpighiales; Euphorbiaceae.
AUUGCCGUAACGAUUAUGUAUUCUGCUAGCUAGGAUAUAGUUGAAGGAAAGAAUUAACCAGAUUAAAAUGGCUUACGAGCAUUAGAGACCUUUUCUUAUUAUUAUUGUUAUUAUUAUUUUCCAUUUUGCUUCUUACAAAACAAUCCCAAAGCAAAGCGUAAAAGAUUAUGUAUUCUGCUAGUUGAUAGCAGCUUGCAGAAACAGCAAGAUGUAAGACUGUGUUGCCAUACAGAUCCGGUCGGCGGAAAAGAUCGUUGCUCCCUAAAGUCUCCGUCAUUGUGACGAAAGCUUUGCAUUUACCAAAUUUAGCAGCAAGGUGCAUUACUGUUUCUGCCUUUUUGGUGAGAAGCAUGAAAGAUUUGGGAGCCAUUGUCAUAAAUUCAGUAAGUAGGAGAACGUCACCAUUCAUUGCUGCAAAGUGCAAUGGUGUGUAGGCAUUCUUAUUAAACCUGUUAGCACACCUUGGUUCUACUUUUAGAAUCAAUCUUGUAAUCUCCAAGAGACCUCUUUCACAAGCGUAGUGCAAUGGUACACAACCAUCCUCGUCGGUCUCCCAAGCAAAUUCUGGCCACCCUUCGAGUACUUUCCUCACAAUAUUUGUGUUUUCUUUUAAUAUUAAAUUGCGUGGACUGAUCCUUUCUUGCACAAUUCCAGCCAACUCAGGACAUAGUUCAGCAAUCUUUCUGGCUAUUUUAUUGUGCCCCAUUCUUGAAUCCCCAGGUGUAACCUAUUCUGCAAUGAUCGCAGACGAAAGAGAGAUAAAUAAAGGGGCGAUGCCUCUGCACAAGGAGAAAACAACACGGCUUUCCUCUCUGC